This is a long non-coding RNA of Olea europaea var. sylvestris, 2230 nucleotides long. RefSeq lists it as uncharacterized. NCBI's taxonomy places the organism in Eukaryota, Viridiplantae, Streptophyta, Magnoliopsida, Lamiales, Oleaceae. The transcript has 6 exons. The record is from RefSeq and is a predicted model, not a curated record.
GUGGCCUCUAUUUCUCUUUUUUCUCCAAUACAAAUGAAAGCAAAGAAAGCCCUUCAUCUUUCAGUCUGCCUCACCUUCAUUUAUCAUCCCUCACGGUAGUGAUAAUCUCUAUAGAGAUUCAAAGCUAACAGGUCUGUAACUGAUAAGUUCUAGGAUUUUCUUUGAUCUUUAAAGGCGUUUUCUUUAUUUUUUGCCUUCAAACAUUAGUGAUUUGGGAGAAUCCAAGCGCCAAUCAAAAGAGCCCAGCUACUCUGCAGAUAAUCAGUACGUACGUUCACCAUCUUGAGGUCCACCGCGCCAAGAAGAUCUCCUCUCACGAUCCCUUCUAGCCAAAAAAAAAAAAAAAAAAAAAAAAACACUCCUGUGAUAAGAAACAUGGUCUGCAUUGCACUUGCUGAUGACACUUGUGAUUAACCAAAGAUUUGGAUGAAUAAGGUUGUGAGAAACUACCCCAGGGUUAGACUUGGAUAUGUGGUUUCUAUUGAUCAAUGUUCUGAUGUCAAGUAUAGGAAGCGUGUACACAUUCUUCUCAAGGAUGAUGCCAUUGAAGGUAUUACUGGAAACCUGUUUGACACUCACCUAAAAUGUAAGUUUCUAGAUAAUAUAAACUUGUGUCACUUGUCGAAGUUUUUUGGUCUAAUUAAACAUUUUUGCUGUUUCCUUUCGGACACUAUACAUCCGUUUCAAAGUUGUUUAGUCCAAUUAAACAUUUCUACGUGUCUAUGAGUCUUUAAUGAAUUUGAGUGUAAACUAUUAUCUAAACAUAGGAUCUUUUUCUCAGUUUUUUGGGUUUUAUGUAUAAUUUAUGUCCCCUGCUUUUCAGGGGCUGGAAAAUAGUCAUUGGAUGGUUUUCUUCUCAGUAGUCAUUCUUGUGUAACGAUUUGGUGACUAAUCUAUGGUUGAUUAGAGUUUCUUUCUUCUGAUAAAUUGCAACAUUAUGCCUGAUACAUUUUGUUUUUCCAUUAUUCUCUCCUCCAUGAAAUGUCCAAGGAAAUUAUGGUUUGAUAUUCCGCGAAGUAUUUCUGUUUAGCUUGCAAGGCUGGUGUUGGCUUCAUGAGAUAUUUUCUGCACUUCAUAUUUCUCAGAUAUAUUUUUCUACUCACACAAUCAAUGACCUAUUUGGCAAUGUUUAUUGUAGAUAGAUUAAAAUGCUUGGAGUGAAAUUAUAAAUCACCAUUCUUUGAGAUAACUAAUAUUGUUAGAUUUAAAAAGGUUUGUUGCUGAUUAUUGCUUUUCUGCAUUUAUAUGAUUAUGUGUUGUAUUUUCUUAUUAGUCACAAUCUUCAUAGCCAAUCUCAUUUGGCCAUUGUCAUGGAGUAUGAAUCUGGAGAAGAUCUUUUUGAGUGAAUAUGCAAUGCUGGACGCUUUAGUGAGGAUGAGGUUUGCUUCUUUUUUCAACUGCUUAUAUUUGGAGUUAGCUAUUGUAUUCGAUGAAAAUAUAUCAUAGGGACUUGAAGCUGGGAAACACACUAUUGGAUGGAAACCCUGCUCCAAGGCUCAAAAUUUGUGAUUUUAGGUAAUCUAAGAUUGUAGAUGUAUGGUCCUGUGGGGUCACUUUAUAUGAAAUGCAGUGGGUUCCUAUCCAUUUGAGGAUCCUGAAGAACCUAAGGACUUUCGAAAAACAAUUCAGAGAAUCUUACGUGUUCAGUGUUCCAUUCCAGAACAAAUUCAAAUUUCUGAGGAAUGUCGACAGUUACAAAUUGCAAAUGGGCAUCAUUCGCCCCGAAUUCAAGUUUGCUUUGGAGGCUCUUUUAAAGGCAAAUCCUAUUGGAGCUAUUUCCUCGGGGUUCAAAUUGGCGAUUUUACUACGGUCAAAUGCAAUUUUAAUUUCUUCAAUUUCUCAUAUAACUUGUAACAUCAUCAUAAACUGGUUUCGGUACACGAUUUAUAUCUAAUUAUUAUCUUAACAUGUAGGCCAAGAACAACUCUCUCCGGGCUCGCCUUGAUAGCCACAUUUCAUGAGAGUAAAUCCCAUCUUCGAUUAGACAUACAGGUUUAUUUUGCCGUGGAAAUUAGCAUUUGAGAUGGUAGUAUGCAUGUAUAUUUGUCGAGUAAUAGGACUGUCUUAUUUUUGUGAAAAGAUAAUUGAUGUAUCCCGUCCAUUGCAGUGGGUUUAGUGUUUGGGUUCCAGUGUCAAACCUUUGAUUGGUUUUCUACAUUACAUUUGCUUGGGACCUGUGCCACAUUUAUUCCUUCACCCCUUUUUGGGAAAAAACUCAAAAUUCAACUCU